Carassius carassius (crucian carp) is the source of this 1336-nucleotide long non-coding RNA. RefSeq lists it as uncharacterized. NCBI's taxonomy places the organism in Eukaryota, Metazoa, Chordata, Actinopteri, Cypriniformes, Cyprinidae. The transcript is spliced from 2 exons. The record is from RefSeq and is a predicted model, not a curated record.
CUUCCCUUCGCCUCUCUAUUAAUGUGCUUGGACACAGAGCUCUGUGAUCAGCCAGCCUCUUUUGCAAUGACCUUUUGUGUCUUGCCCUCCUUGUGCAAGGUGUCAAUGGUCGUCUUUUGGACAACUGUCAAGUCAGCAGUCUUCCCCAUGAUUGUGUAGCCUUCAGAACUAGACUGAGAGACCAUUUAAAGGGGGGGUGAAAUGCUCAUUUUCACUCAAUCUCCUGUUAAUCUUGAGUACCUAAAGAGUAGUACUGCAUCCUUCGUAUCUCCAAAAAGUCUUUAGUUUUAUUAUAUUUAUAAGAGAAAAAUAGUCUGUGCCGAUUUUUUUCGGAAAAACAAGAGCGUCUGGAGGCGUGACGUGUGGGCGGAGCUAAAGAAUCACGAGCGCGAGUAGGCUUUUGCGUUGAGAGCGUUUGGAAGUUGUGACAUUACCGUGAGGAAAAAAAAACCAUCAUCCAAAACAAACCAUGGCUAACAGUCAGAUUCAGCCGUUUAUUUAUGAUCCAGAAUCAGAUCACGAGGCUGAAACUGAACGAGAGCAGCAGCAGCAAUGACUACAGCAGGACGUCUCUAUGUGGUAUGUAUUGAAACUGUAUAUAUUUGCUUAGCGGUUUUGGAAAAUGACUAAGUUCCACUUUGUCGUCUUUUUUUUUUCUUUAAAGGUGUACAAGGUUUACUUGAUGUGCUUACGCGCCGAUAGCUAAGUUAACAACACAGAGAUAUUUGAAGCAGUUUUACUCACCGCCUGUGGUUCCAACACACGGUCAUGACCCUUUUUCGUUGGGAUUGCAUCAUCCUUAAGAAAUAAACGAUAUGCAAAUCUGGCGUCAAACUGGGCCUUGUUUGUAAAACAAGCAUCUUCGAAUUGCAGGGAACAAACAAAAACACUUGCUCAACUCCGUCGAUGCUCUGUAAAAAUAAACUCCGUCCACUGGUCCCUUAAUGUUUUUUUUUUUUUUUGGUAAUCUGUGCAGGGUUGUCUUGCCCUCGCAACCAAAAACACACUUCUUUUGUGACAUUUCGCGACACUCUCGCUCUGAUCAGUGAAUGUCUCUGCUCCGCUCUGCUCUACGGGAGCGCAUGCUCUUCCGGCAGAAGUGCCCUUAGGACCCAUAUAAGGAAAUUCCGCUCCAUCUAACGUCACACAGACCCAUACUUGAAAAAAACUUUCCGAAACUUGUGACAAACCGGAAGGAGUAUUUUUGGAACAAAAAUACUCCUUCAAACGUACAACUUAAUUUUUGAAACUUUGUCCAUGUUUAGCAUGGGAAUCCAACUCUUUAACAGUGUAAAAAACUCAGUAUGCAUGAAAUAGCAUUUCACCCCCCCUUUAA